CAGCAGCCGCGGUAACACGUAGGGUGCAAGCGUUAAUCGGAAUUACUGGGCGUAAAGCGUGCGCAGGCGGUUAUAUAAGACAGAUUUGAAAUCCCCGGGCUCAACCUGGGAACUGCAUUUGUGACUGUAUAGCUAGAGUACGGCAGAGGGGGAUGGAAUUCCGCGUGUAGCAGUGAAAUGCGUAGAUAUGCGGAGGAACACCGAUGGCGAAGGCAAUCCCCUGGGCCUGUACUGACGCUCAUGCACGAAAGCGUGGGGAGCAAACAGGAUUAGAUACCCCCGUAGUCCCUGUCUCUUAUAC
This 301-nucleotide ribosomal RNA is filed under the name uncultured bacterium. RNAcentral describes it as "partial 16S ribosomal RNA". It matches the Rfam family "Bacterial small subunit ribosomal RNA", at positions 509 to 807 of the family's 1533-position model. The record is from RNAcentral.